ACGUGGACGCGGAGACGGCGCGGGCGGGCGCGCGGGGCUUCUCCGGCUGCCUCUCCGCGGUGCAGUUCGAGCGCGUGGCCCCGCUGAAGGCUGCGCUGCGCCCUGGGCGCCCUGGGCUCGCGUCCGUGCAGGGGCUGGUGGCGGCGUCGGACUGUGGAGCCAGCCCCGGGGACGGCGCCACGCGGGAGCGCACGCAUGUGCGGGCAGGACAUUCCGGAACGGUGGAUGAGGGGAAGCCCAUAGCUGACGCGACCAGGGGAGACUCCGCAGUGAUUGGAGGUGUCAUAGCCGUAGCAGUGUUUGUCCUGCUGUGCGUUGCUGCCAUAGCCAUCCGCCUUUACCAGCAGAAGACCUUGUACACAAUCAAGGAGGGGAAACCACCAGAGAACGAAGGCCGUGCAGUGGCCGGGCUCAGGUGUGAGCUCAGCCUGCAGAGUGCGGUCUGUGGGAACCAGAAGGAGUACUUCUUCUGAGUGGGAGCCAGGAUGGACACAUCCUCACUGCAGGCUGACUUUCUCCUACGCCCGGGGCUCCCGAUGGUCAGAAAUCCCCUUUGCAAAUGCAACAGGUUGUGACACAAUCGUGCUGGGCAAAUCCUGCCUCAUGGAGUGUCCAAUGGCAUUAUCCCUUAGCUGUCGUUUGAGUCACUGCAUUUUAUGUCACCAUGAAUUUGAUAUGGUCAUAAUCCAUGUUAGUUCUGAUGCUCUAAUGUGCUUUUAAACUGAAUUUUAACUUGC
Non-coding RNA from Ceratotherium simum simum (southern white rhinoceros), 737 nucleotides. Lineage: Eukaryota; Metazoa; Chordata; Mammalia; Perissodactyla; Rhinocerotidae. The record is from RefSeq and is a predicted model, not a curated record.